This 497-nucleotide ribosomal RNA is filed under the name uncultured bacterium. RNAcentral's name for it is "partial 16S ribosomal RNA". It matches the Rfam family "Bacterial small subunit ribosomal RNA", at positions 28 to 507 of the family's 1533-position model. The record is from RNAcentral.
GAUGAACGCUGGCGGCGUGCCUAAUACAUGCAAGUCGAGCGAACAGAUAAGGAGCUUGCUCCUUUGACGUUAGCGGCGGACGGGUGAGUAACACGUGGGUAACCUACCUAUAAGACUGGGAUAACUUCGGGAAACCGGAGCUAAUACCGGAUAACAUUUGGAACCGCAUGGUUCUAAAGUGAAAGAUGGUUUUGCUAUCACUUAUAGAUGGACCCGCGCCGUAUUAGCUAGUUGGUAAGGUAACGGCUUACCAAGGCAACGAUACGUAGCCGGCCUGAGAGGGUGAUCGGCCACACUGGAACUGAGACACGGUCCAGACUCCUACGGGAGGCAGCAGUAGGGAAUCUUCCGCAAUGGGCGAAAGCCUGACGGAGCAACGCCGCGUGAGUGAUGAAGGGUUUCGGCUCGUAAAACUCUGUUAUUAGGGAAGAACAAACGUGUAAGUAACUGUGCACGUCUUGACGGUACCUAAUCAGAAAGCCACGGCUAACUACGUG